This 412-nucleotide ribosomal RNA is filed under the name uncultured bacterium. RNAcentral's name for it is "bacterial SSU rRNA". It matches the Rfam family "Bacterial small subunit ribosomal RNA", at positions 9 to 402 of the family's 1533-position model. The record is from RNAcentral.
GAGUUUGAUCUUGGCUCAGGACGAACGCUGGCGGCGCGCUUAACACAUGCAAGUCGAACGGAGCUACAAUGGAAAGAGCCUUCGGGCAAUGGAAGCUGUAGCUUAGUGGCGGACGGGUGAGUAACACGUGAGCAACCUGCCUUUCAGAGGGGGAUAACGUUUUGAAAAGAACGCUAAUACCGCAUAACGUAUUUUUUCGCAUGGAAGAGAUACCAAAGGAGCAAUCCGCUGAAAGAUGGGCUCGCGUCCGAUUAGCUAGUUGGUAGGGUAAAGGCCUACCAAGGCGACGAUCGGUAGCCGGACUGAGAGGUUGAACGGCCACAUUGGGACUGAGACACGGCCCAGACUCCUACGGGAGGCAGCAGUGGGAAUAUUGCACAAUGGAGGAAACUCUGAUGCAGCGACGCCGCGU